Molecule: ribosomal RNA, 465 nt
Filed under: uncultured bacterium
Lineage: Bacteria
Description: partial 16S ribosomal RNA
Rfam family: Bacterial small subunit ribosomal RNA
Source: RNAcentral
GACGAACGCUGGCGGCGUGCUUAACACAUGCAAGUCGAACGGAAAGGCCCUGCUUGCAGGGUACUCGAGUGGCGAACGGGUGAGUAACACGUGGGUGAUCUGCCCUGCACUUCGGGAUAAGCCUGGGAAACUGGGUCUAAUACCGGAUAGGAGCCAUUUUUAGUGUGAUGGUUGGAAAGUUUUUUCGGUGUAGGAUGAGCUCGCGGCCUAUCAGCUUGUUGGUGGGGUAAUGGCCUACCAAGGCGGCGACGGGUAGCCGGCCUGAGAGGGUGGACGGCCAACAUGGGGCCGGGAAACGGCCCAGACUCCUACGGGAGGCAGCAGUGGGGAAUAUUGCACAAUGGGCGCAAGCCUGAUGCAGCGACGCCGCGUGGGGGAUGACGGCCUUCGGGUUGUAAACUCCUUUCGCUAGGGACGAAGCUUUUUGUGACGGUACCUAGAGAAGAAGCACCGGCUAACUACGUG